GAUGAAGAACGUAGCGAAACGCGAAAGGUAAUGCGAAUUGCAGAAUCAGUGAAUCAUCGAAUCUUUGAACGCAUAUUGCGCUCUCUGGUAUUCCGGAGAGCAUGCUUGUUUGAGUAUCAGUAAACACCUCAACUUCCAUAUCUUUUUUGAAAUGGGAGUUGGACUUGAGUGAUCCCAACGCUUUUCCUCACCGAAAAGUGGCGGGUUACUUGAAAUGCAGGUGCAGCUGGACUUUUCUCUGAGCUAUAAGCAUAUCUAUUUAGUCUGCCUAAAAAACAGAUUAUUACCUUUGCUGCAGCUAACAUAAAGGAGAUUAGUUCUUGUGCUGACUGAUGCAGGAUUCACAAAGACAGGCUUCGGCCGACUUUGUAAACUCGAUCUCAAAUCAAGUAAGACUACCCGCUGAACUUAAGCAUAUCAAUAAGCGGAGGA
Molecule: unclassified non-coding RNA, 432 nt
Filed under: soil metagenome
Description: partial contains 5.8S ribosomal RNA, internal transcribed spacer 2, and large subunit ribosomal RNA
Rfam family: 5.8S ribosomal RNA (bases 1-119)
Source: RNAcentral